This 2257-nucleotide long non-coding RNA is filed under the name Sus scrofa (pig). RNAcentral's name for it is "lncRNA (ENSSSCG00050038074.1)". Lineage: Eukaryota; Metazoa; Chordata; Mammalia; Artiodactyla; Suidae. The record is from RNAcentral.
CCUGUGGCAUAUGGAGGUUCCCAGGCUAGGGGUCUAAUCGGAGCUACAGCUGCCAGCCUACACCACAGCCACGCCAGAUCCGAGCCAUGUCUGCCACCUACACCACAGCACACAGCAACGCCGGAUCCCCAACCCACUGAGAGAUGCCAGGGAUUGAACCCGCAACUUCAUGGUUCCCAGUUUGAUUCGUUUCCACUGAGCCACAACGGGGAAUUCCCAGACCUAUUUUCUACUUGAACCCAAUGAAGGAUUAAAAAUUAUGCAGCUCUUUGCUUUUAAACCUCAUAGAGUUCCCUUGAGAGGUGCUGGCUACAUUUUCUCUACGUGGUUAGGCUCACCCAUUUAAAUGAAGUACACAUGGAUUUUGCCCAGGAAUCCCUGCCCAGAAUCUCCCAGUGGGAAUACCCAUCUCCCCAUGGGUGCAGACUCACCUCUCUGAGGUCAGGGAUGGGGGCCUCCUGAGCCUGCACACCCACCUCUCCUUCUCCCUUCUGCCUGCCAACGCCUGCCUUGGAACUACUUCAUUACUCAUCUUUAAUUCUCCAAGGGAGUGUGAGAAGACAUAAAAGGGGAAAACUAAAUUCCAUUCUGUCAAGUUUGUUUCUCCUUCACAGAUUUGAUGAAAUAGAGAUGCAGGAAGAAAUAGCGGCAAAUAGGAGGUCUGGGGAAAUGCCUUUAAUAAUUCAAUCAAGCUCAUCCCAGCCCCCAGGACAGACAGACACCAGUAGGUUAUGAAUGUGCCUAGGGCAGUGGGACAUAGGAAAACACUCCUUCCUAGGGCAGCCGGAAACAUUUACUACUCUACCUUUGAACUUAGAAAAGAAUGUUAAGAAUCUGAGACAAAAAAAAUAAAUAAAUAAAAGGUUAUGUCUGUACCUCUAGAGUAAUUAAUUAUGUGAGGCUGGACCUAUACCCACAGAACAAACAGGAAAAUUGCACAGACUCCACCCACACUGAGUCCAGCGUAAAAAUAAAGUCAAGAAUUACAUAUAGUCCAGUAUUUAUACCAAUUUCCUCGAACCUCUAAAACCACCAAAAAUCAAUGAUCAGAGUCUCAGCAGAUAAUGCUUGACUUAUGUUUCACUUUUCAACAAAGUGGUACUAUUUUUGGUCAUUUAGGGGGCUUAUUUAAAAAUUAUCAAAAAAUAAAAUAAAAUUACAAUAGAAAAGAAGAGAUUCAAGCAACCACUUCAUAGGCACAGGGUAGUAUCAGAUGCUUUCCGAAUAUCUAAGUAAUAAUUUUAGUUAGGCAUUCUUGAUAGUGGAAUAUGUACAAUGGGAAUGGGGAACAGAUAGAUGGGUACCUGGGUCAGUAGCAAACAAGCCUUUUAUUUUAUUUAUUUAUUUGUCUUUUUUUUUUUUUUGCUAUUUCUUUGGGCCACUCCCGCGGCAUAUGGAGGUUCCCAGGCUAGGGGUCUAAUCGCAGCUGUUCCUGCCGGCCUACGCCAGAGCCACAGCAAUGAGAGAUCCAAGCCGUGUCUGUGACCUACACCACAGCUCACAGCAACGCCGGAUCCUUAACCCACUGAGCAAGGCCAGGGAUCCAACCUGCCACCUUAUGGUUCCUAGUCAGAUUUGUUAACCACUGCGCCACGACGGGAACUCCCAAACAAGCUUUUUAAAAACCUACAGGUAGCAGGUGUUUUCUGGUUGUUGUUGUUUUUUCUUUCUGUUGUUGUGGUUGUUUUGGUAACUUACGGCCACUAAGCAUCAAAAGACUGCCUAACAGCCUGUGUUUUAGUAAAUUUUAGUCAAAUAGUUUAAUGUUUCUGUUUCCCAUUUUUGCAGCCAACAUUCCAGAAGCAGGAUAUAAGGAAACCAUUUCCCCUAAAGGACACAUUUCAGCAGACAGCAUUUGAAAAAAAAUCUCCUCUUGGGAGGGAUAUAUCAGGAGUUUGGGAUUGACAUAUAUACACUCCUAUAUAUAAGACAGACAACCAACAAGGACCUAUUAUAUAGCACAGGGAGCUCUACUUAUAAUAACCUAUAGGGGAAAAGACUCUGAAAAAAAAUACAUACAUACAUAUGUGUGUGUGUGUGUGUGUGUGUGUGUGUGUGUGUGUGUGUCCACUUAUAUGCAGGUUUAUUUCAAUAGUAAGCGCUACAGCAGUACAGGAUCUGCAGUUGGUCAAACCCAUGAAUAUGGAACCAUGGGUACAGAGGAACUGCAAUCCAGAGGGCCAACUCUAUGUUAUCCACGGACUUUCAACUGAGCAGAGGAUCGGCACCCUGACCCCUGUGAUAUUUAAGGGCCAAC